Molecule: long non-coding RNA, 2708 nt
Organism: Cavia porcellus (domestic guinea pig)
Lineage: Eukaryota; Metazoa; Chordata; Mammalia; Rodentia; Caviidae
Exons: 4
Source: RefSeq, a predicted model, not a curated record
UCAGCUGCCUUUUUGAAAGAGGAACGUCGGAGGGCGGGUUCUGGCCAAGGUGGUCCCUGAUUGGUGGAGCGCGAAGCGGGUGUUGGGGGUCCUGAUCACGUGAUCGAUGGGCGGGGUGAAUUCGGAGAGCCGGACCUGGAUUGCGCUGCUGAGCUGGCCUCGUUUGGUCGGGUGAGACUGAGCGUGGGGUGCGAGAAGACUAACUACGUACUACAACUGGUUCCUGUUUUUCUAGGGCACGUGGACUAGGGGGUUGUAUCCUACUUCAUUGCACCGGUGAGAUCAUGAGUUUCCCUGCCAAACUCUUUACAAUGUAAACAGUGCAGCAAGUAGGUGUCUUUGGGAGGAGCCCUCUAUCUUUCACACUUCAGGACUGCCUCAUCCUGAUUCAAAAGAAAACAAACAAGCCUGACCUCCACCUCACUGUACACCUGUGAAAGAUUUGGGAACUCAGAGCAAUAAAUUUUCCUCUGAGGACUGCUUUCAUUGUAUCCCACAGAUUCUGGACUGAAUAAUAUGAGGAUCGGCCUCUACCUGCUGGAUGCCAACACUGGAAUGCCCUUUCCUCUCAGUGUGGGCAGAGAGAGAGCCAGAGGAUCUUCCUCUGCCUGCCAGAUGCCACCACCAGAAGGCCCUUUCUUUCACGUGCCCAGCAUGAGCAAAGAGAGCCAAAAGAGCCACCUCUGCCUGCUGUGCACUGCCACCUAAAGGCCGCAGCCUGCAGGUCACCAAUGUGGGUAGAGAGAACCAACAGAUCCAACUUCACCUUCAGGGAGUUUCCACCAGAAGGCUCCUUCCUACAGGCAGCCAGUAGACACAUAGCCUGGUAAGCCCUUUGCAUCUGUAGGUCACCAUUUGAGGCCCUUGGUUCCCUCAGACAGCCAUCAUCCAAUAGCAGAAUCAGACAAACAUACCUUUAUAUAUCUGCCAUCAUUGUGGGAGUGCCAGUGUAGACACAAAGGCUGAGAGAAGCAGCCCCACCUGUAUGCAACCCUGAUCAUCAGCAAAGCUCCAGUGUAGCUGCAUAGCUCUGGAGAAGCCUGCUUCACACUAUGCUACCUCCCUAUAAAUCUGGAAUUAGAGGAACCCAAGUACCUGUCUCAUCCACCUACACUGCCUAGGUGUAGCCAAGGCAGAAAGCGCCUGGGGCCCCACAACUAGCUUGUUGGGAGGAACUCAGGAGAAUGUCAAGAUGAAGGAGUAAAAGGGAAACUCAGCUAGUCCACACACAGUAAUUCUGGGAGAUACAUUCAUGGAAGAGAACAGAAGUCACACACCUGGAAUCUCUGAGAGGCUACCAAUAGGAAACAAUUUCAAGAGAUUGUAAAAGCAGUCAAAUCAGAAAUAAUGUCUCAGGUAAAAGAAGAAAUCACAAACAUACUGAAAGAAUUGUUCAGCAGAUCUAAAGAAGAUGUAGACAAAAAAGACGAGCAUAGGAAAAUGAUGGAAACCUUGAAUGAGUGUAGAAAAGAAUUACAAUUUAUGAAACAGAUUGGAAGAGAGAUCCAGAAAAUUAAAAACUCAAUUGAAAGCUGGCAAAACUGCUUGAAAGAGAUGAAGAUAGACUUUCAAACCUUGAAGACAGAAUUGUAGCUAGUGAUCGUGAAAGGAAAGAACUCUUAAAAAUAACACAGAAUCAGGAAAUAACAACAGUUGCAAGAUGGUGCAAGGAAGCAUAAUUUAAGAAUGAUAGGUGUCGGUGAAGAAGCAGGGGUCAAAACAAAGGAAAUUCAUAGAAGUAAUAGAAGAAAACUUUCCAAACAUGGGAAACGGAUCUGGCAUGCAGAUAAGUGAGGCAUAUAGGACUUCAACUAGCCAUAUGAAAGUAAAUCUACAAAGUAAAUCAAGAUCCCAGAAAUUCAGCACAAGAACAGAAUAUUAAAAGCUGUCAGAAAAAGACACAGAUUGCCUAUAAAGGAAAACCAAUCCGAAUCACAGCAGACUUAUGAACACAAAUCAUCAAAUCAAGAAGAGUUUGGAGUGAAGUGUUUCAAACUCUGAAAGAAAGCAACCUCCAACCCAGAUUGAUCUACCCAGAAAAGCUCUCUUUCAAAAUAAGAUACUUCCAUUGUAAAGAACAACUGAAGGAAUUCAUGACUACCAAACCAACACUACAGAGAGUGCUAAAGGAUAUUCUAGAGAGAGAUAAAGAUGAACAUGGUUUCAGGAACAGCAGUAGAGGAGGAUUGCCAAAUAAGACAGGCAAUUGAAUGAAGGGGAAAAGUGGAGGCCCAGCAACAGGAGGAUAGCAGGGUAGAGACAAACCAAUGUGUGCUGUUUGUAACCAUUAAUGUAGAUGGCCACAGGUUAGCAAUAAAAAGAAGCACAGGGAUAGUGGAUCAAGAAGCAAGAUCCAUCAAUAUAUUGUAUACAAGAAACAUACCUAAUUGGAAAGGAUAUUCAUAGACUGAAAAUUAAAGGAGAGAAAACAAUUGUUCUAUGUGAUAUGAGACAAAAAAAAAAAGCAAGAGUAACUUGCCCACCAACUACAGAAUGGAUAAGAAAGAUACGGUAUUUUCAUGAAGUGGAAAGCUACCAGGCUAUAAAAUAGUGCUGUGUUGCUUGCAUUGUCCAUUUCUGAUUUGAUUUGUUCUGUUCUCUGUUUUCUUCUCUUUAAAGUAAAAUAAAAUAAAAUAAUUCACAAGUAAGAUUGAAUAAUUUACAGUAAUGAAUAAAAAGAACAGGAAAAAGAGAAAAAACAGGGGAAA